Molecule: transfer RNA, 74 nt
Filed under: Mus musculus (house mouse)
Lineage: Eukaryota; Metazoa; Chordata; Mammalia; Rodentia; Muridae
Description: tRNA-Ser
Source: RNAcentral
GCUGGAGAGAUGGCUCAGUGGUUAAGAGCACUGACUGCUCUUCCAGAGGUCCUGAGUUCAAACCCCAGCAAACA